CAGCUAGUUGGCGGGGUAGUGGCCCACCAAGGCCACGAUCGGUCGGGGACCUGAGAGGGCGAUCCCCCACACUGGCACUGAGAUACGGGCCAGACUCCUACGGGAGGCAGCAGUAGGGAAUAUUGGGCAAUGGAGGCGACUCUGACCCAGCCAUGCCGCGUGCAGGAAGAAGGCGCUACGCGUUGUAAACUGCUUUUUUUCGGGAAGAAAAAGCUUCUGCGGAAGUCACUGACGGUACCGAAGGAAUCAGCACCGGCUAACUCCGUGCCAGCAGCCGCGGUAAUACGGAGGGUGCAAGCGUUGUCCGGAUUCAUUGGGUUUAAAGGGUGCGCAGGCGGGAGAUUAAGUCAGGGGUGAAAGACGGUUGCUCAACAAUCGCAGUGCCUUUGAUACUGGUUUUCUUGGGUGACCUUGAGGUAGGCGGAAUGGGGGGUGUAGCGGUGAAAUGCAUAGAUACCCCCCAGAACUCCGAUUGCGAAGGCAGCCUACUGGAGGUUCACCGACGCUCAUGCGCGAAAGCGUGGGGAUCAAACAGGAUUAGAUACCCUGGUAGUCCA
This 557-nucleotide ribosomal RNA is filed under the name uncultured Bacteroidota bacterium. RNAcentral's name for it is "SSU rRNA". It matches the Rfam family "Bacterial small subunit ribosomal RNA", at positions 242 to 797 of the family's 1533-position model. Lineage: Bacteria; Pseudomonadati; Bacteroidota. The record is from RNAcentral.